UUACAGGGACAUAUUGUUGUUGCUUUAAAGA
Molecule: non-coding RNA, 31 nt
Filed under: Rattus norvegicus (Norway rat)
Lineage: Eukaryota; Metazoa; Chordata; Mammalia; Rodentia; Muridae
Source: RNAcentral